RNAcentral lists this small nuclear RNA (287 nucleotides) under Meriones unguiculatus (Mongolian gerbil). Its description in RNAcentral is "7SK RNA (ENSMUGG00000021312.1)". It matches the Rfam family "7SK RNA". Rfam says of the family: 7SK was discovered as an abundant small nuclear RNA in the mid-70s but a possible function has only recently been suggested. Two independent studies have found that 7SK RNA binds the CDK9/cyclin T complex (known as elongation factor P-TEFb). The record is from RNAcentral. Lineage: Eukaryota; Metazoa; Chordata; Mammalia; Rodentia; Muridae.
GAAUGAGGGCGAUCUGGCUGCCGCGUCUGUCACCCCAUUAAUCGCCAGGGUUGAUUCGGCUGAUCUGGCUGGCUAACUGGAUGACCCCUUCCUCCCUUACCAGUCCGUGUGCGUACAUCCUUAAACUGCACACUCCGUCAAAGAGGACGACCCACUGUGAAGAGAGGAGGACAGGUCUUCGGUCAAGGGUAUUCGAAGUAGCUGAGCUCCAAACCAAGGUUUUUGCUCUUUCUUUGGUCCAGUAUUUCCUCAUUAUGCUCCCAUUCCUUUCUCUUGGAAUGGUAAUG